CUCUGUUUUAUCUCACGCAACCAGAUUCAAAGCCGAGCUGCCUUGAGAACAUCAUAAAAGAUAAAUCAGUAAAGAAACCCCUGAGAGACCAAGAACUUGUGUGAAUUUCCAGAAAACUGCAAAGUUAGCAGCCUGGCCAAGCCUCACGUGUCUCAUUUGCAAAGAGAGAUAUCUGUGAAAAGGUUUGGCUAUACUGAAGGUCUAAUAGGUACUAGAGUCUACAGUAUGCCAUAAGAAGACAAGUAAUCA
This is a long non-coding RNA of Ochotona curzoniae (black-lipped pika), 249 nucleotides long. RefSeq lists it as uncharacterized. The record is from RefSeq and is a predicted model, not a curated record. Lineage: Eukaryota; Metazoa; Chordata; Mammalia; Lagomorpha; Ochotonidae. The transcript has 3 exons.